This 253-nucleotide ribosomal RNA is filed under the name uncultured bacterium. RNAcentral's name for it is "partial 16S ribosomal RNA". It matches the Rfam family "Bacterial small subunit ribosomal RNA", at positions 524 to 776 of the family's 1533-position model. The record is from RNAcentral.
UACGUAGGGUGCGAGCGUUAAUCGGAAUUACUGGGCGUAAAGCGUGCGCAGGCGGUUAUAUAAGACAGUUGUGAAAUCCCCGGGCUCAACCUGGGAAUUGCAUCUGUGACUGUAUAGCUAGAGUACGGUAGAGGGGGAUGGAAUUCCGCGUGUAGCAGUGAAAUGCGCAGAUAUCGGGAGGAACACCAAUGGCGAAGGCAGCUCGCUGGGACGGUACUGACGCUGAGACGCGAAAGCGUGGGGAGCAAACAGG